GACGAACGCUGGCGGCGUGCCUAAUACAUGCAAGUCGAACGAACCGCGACUAGGUGCUUGCACUUGGUCAAGGUGAGUGGCGAACGGGUGAGUAACACGUGGGUAACCUACCUCAUAGUGGGGGAUAACAGUCGGAAACGACUGCUAAUACCGCAUAGGACAUAGGAUCACAUGAUUCUGUGAGGAAAGGUGGCGCAAGCUAUCGCUAAGAGAUGGACCCGCGGUGCAUUAGCUAGUUGGUAGGGUAAAGGCCUACCAAGGCGAUGAUGCAUAGCCGACCUGAGAGGGUGAUCGGCCACAUUGGGACUGAGACACGGCCCAAACUCCUACGGGAGGCAGCAGUAGGGAAUCUUCCGCAAUGGACGCAAGUCUGACGGAGCAACGCCGCGUGAGUGAAGAAGGUCUUCGGAUCGUAAAGCUCUGUUGUUAGAGAAGAACAGCGCAUAGAGUAACUGUUAUGCGUGUGACGGUAUCUAACCAGAAAACCACGGCUAACUACGUG
Molecule: ribosomal RNA, 502 nt
Filed under: uncultured bacterium
Lineage: Bacteria
Description: partial 16S ribosomal RNA
Rfam family: Bacterial small subunit ribosomal RNA
Source: RNAcentral